Molecule: long non-coding RNA, 393 nt
Organism: Pollicipes pollicipes
Lineage: Eukaryota; Metazoa; Arthropoda; Thecostraca; Pollicipedomorpha; Pollicipedidae
Exons: 3
Source: RefSeq, a predicted model, not a curated record
GUUUACUACGUUGGAACCACACCCAGCCAAGUCUUACAAGAAAUCAGCCUGCCUGCGAUCACCAUGAAAAAGUGCGAGGCUGUCAUCGACCCAAAUCGAGAAGUAUAUCCAAACGGGCUUCAGAACACCAAGCUAUGUACGGCAACAAAACUGUCCGACAGAGAUGUGUGCAAGGGUGACUCUGGCGGUCCAAUGGUGCAUCUCCGCUCCGAUGGUCGGUAUCAGCUGGUCGGAGUCGUUUCGGGAGGGACCGCGACGUAUUGCAAAGUCACCGCAAACUCUCUGAGUAUUUUCAACCGAGUCAGCACGUAUGUGGACUGGGUACACAACAAGAUGAAGUGACACAUACGCGCACGGAACAAGCCGGAACACAGCCGUCAUAAGUCGCUGUUU